This 627-nucleotide long non-coding RNA is filed under the name Cyanistes caeruleus (blue tit). Its description in RNAcentral is "lncRNA (ENSCCEG00000001952.1)". The record is from RNAcentral. Lineage: Eukaryota; Metazoa; Chordata; Aves; Passeriformes; Paridae.
CUUCCAUGGUGUGUGGCUGGGAAAUAUUAGCCCUGAACUUUAUGUGCUCUGCAUCAUCUCUGCUCCUAGAGGAGAAAAGGAGGACCUACUCCUAGGUUCACAAAGCCAUGUGCCACAUGAAGCACCUGGGGUGGUCCUCUGCUGAUGUCAAAUAAUUCAGUUUCCACUUCCUCUGGAUGUGCAAGACUCACAGCUACAUUCCUUGCAAAUGAGGUCUGAAGUAACAUACAUUUCCAGGACUAGAAGUCUACAACACUGGAAGUUGAGCAUCAUCUUAAACUCCUUGACCACAGACAUGGGAAGUUUGCAAAAAGAAAUGUGCAUGCCAAAAGCAUGUCUCCUUCACUCAUGUCAAUAUUGGCAAUGCAUGGGGAGCCUGAAAAAAUGCAGGUUUAAACACUUAAACAUUAAGGAUGUAAUUUGUUGUUUUUUAAAUCUCACUAAUUGUUCAUUAAGUAGUACUCUUGCCCUUCUCCCCAUCCCUGGAGUGAAUUGAAAAGCUGGGACAAAAGUGUGAGUGAGUCACAAGUGAAAGAAUUUGUUUAACCCCUGAUGUAGGAGUAGCAGUUUUAGCUUCCUGAGCUAUGUGAAAUUAAUUCCACAAUAAAUGAUGUAGAGCUAAUUGCA